RNAcentral lists this small RNA (186 nucleotides) under Apteryx haastii (Great spotted kiwi). RNAcentral's name for it is "TUC338 (ENSAHAG00000001679.1)". Lineage: Eukaryota; Metazoa; Chordata; Aves; Apterygiformes; Apterygidae. The record is from RNAcentral.
CUGACAGCCUUGAAGACUCAAGCCCUCAAUUUAUUUAUCCGCAGAACAAACAAAGUGGGAAGAGUGGCAAAGCCCUGCUUCCUGCAUUGCAUUUCCUCUGCCUGCCACACCCCUGACCUGGGGAGACCUUCUCUGAACCAGCGAGAUGGUUGUGCAAUCUUCAGACUCAUUCAAACCUGAUUUCUU